AUGCACUUAUUUUUAAAGGAAUAAAAGAACUUUGAAAUCAUACUUAAUAUAUUGCUAUUAUACUCCAAAAAGAAAAUUAGUUCAAUUGCUCUCAUGCUGCUAAAAUACUUAAUAUAUUGGGCAAAAGAUCUUAAAUGAACAAGCUUUCAUACUUAUUAUUAAAGAAUGAUUAGAUUUUCAUUCGUGCUUUCUUUGAAUAUCAUUCUUGGUACUUCUUGAAUUAACUUCAGAAAGUUUCCACCUACACUUG
Molecule: long non-coding RNA, 250 nt
Filed under: Phoenix dactylifera (date palm)
Lineage: Eukaryota; Viridiplantae; Streptophyta; Magnoliopsida; Arecales; Arecaceae
Description: long non-coding RNA (PDAC_LNC010998)
Source: RNAcentral